Molecule: long non-coding RNA, 353 nt
Filed under: Trifolium pratense (red clover)
Lineage: Eukaryota; Viridiplantae; Streptophyta; Magnoliopsida; Fabales; Fabaceae
Description: long non-coding RNA (TPRA_LNC013660)
Source: RNAcentral
AUGAAUCAGCAUGGUAAUUUGUGAACACUGAUUCCUUCUGGUUCUAUCUUUCUUUUGUUUGAUCUUCAUGUUUUGUAUUCUUAUUCUUUUCUGGUCUUUUGAUUUUGGUUCUGGCUUAGACCGCCAUACAUGUGAAUUGAAAUAUGACACGCUGUUUUCUGCAGUGUAGUGUGUUUUGAAACAAUAACAUUAUAAGCAGCAUCAAGCCUCAGGUUUAUUUUGCUACCAUGUACUUGGGUUGUGAACUAUUUUUAUUUUCAUUUCUAUUCUUAUUGUCUAGUCGAUUUACUUCUUGGUCUAUGUUUGGCUUUUUUAUCUGAUUUCUGACAGUGCAAAAGUUUACAUGAUUCUUU